AAAUUGAAGAGUUUGAUCAUGGCUCAGAUUGAACGCUGGCGGCAGGCCUAACACAUGCAAGUCGAGCGGAAACGAGUUAUCUGAACCUUCGGGGAACGAUAACGGCGUCGAGCGGCGGACGGGUGAGUAAUGCCUAGGAAGUUGCCCUGAUGUGGGGGAUAACCAUUGGAAACGAUGGCUAAUACCGCAUGAUGCCUACGGGCCAAAGA
RNAcentral lists this ribosomal RNA (209 nucleotides) under Vibrio parahaemolyticus. RNAcentral describes it as "partial 16S ribosomal RNA". It matches the Rfam family "Bacterial small subunit ribosomal RNA", at positions 1 to 207 of the family's 1533-position model. Lineage: Bacteria; Pseudomonadati; Pseudomonadota; Gammaproteobacteria; Vibrionales; Vibrionaceae. The record is from RNAcentral.